Molecule: ribosomal RNA, 1328 nt
Filed under: Priassus spiniger
Lineage: Eukaryota; Metazoa; Arthropoda; Insecta; Hemiptera; Pentatomidae
Description: 16S ribosomal RNA
Source: RNAcentral
UUAUAUUAAAUAUUUAAUAUCUAAAUUUUGUUAAUUAUUAAAUUUAUAGAAAUAACUUUUAUUUUAGUAUUUUUUAAAGAAUAAAUUUUUUAAAUAUUUAUAUUAAAUUUUAUACUGUAAAGGUUUAUUAUAAUUUAUAAUAUAAGUAAAAAUUAAUUUUUGUACCUUUUGUAUCAGGGUUUAUCAAUAUUUUUUUAUAUAUUUAUUAAAUUUCCCGAAAUUAAAAGAGAUAUUAAUAAUUGUUAUUUAAUGUGACAAAAUUAUUAAUUAAUUAUUAAUAGAAGUUAUAUGCUAUUCAUUUUUAAUUAUCUGGUUUCUUAAUAUUUGAAUUUAAUUCAGAAUUAAUAUAUUUUAAUAUAAAAAAUUAAUUUUUUAUUAAAAUAUUAAUUUAAGAUUAAAGGGGAUAAGCUCUUUAAUUUAUUUAUAAUUUAUAUUUUAUGUAGAAUUUGGUAGGAUUAGAAAUUUUCAUCAUUUAUUUUGUUAUAAUAAUGUUUAUUAUAAUUUUAAUUUAUUUAUAAUUUAAAUUUGUAUUAAGAAUUAUUAAUUAAUAUUUAAUUAAUAGUUAUAAUGAUAAAAUUAGUAAAAUAUAUUAAUUAAUAUAUAGUAACUUGGCAAAUUUAUUCUUCACCUGUUUAACAAAAACAUGUCCUGAUGCUAAUAAUUUAUAUUAGGUCUGUCCUGCUCAAUGAUUAUUAAUUUUAAAUAGCCGCAGUAUUUUGACUGUGCGAAGGUAGCAUAAUCAAUUGUCUUUUAAUUGAAGGCUUGUAUGAAUGGUUUGAUGAGAGAAUAACUUUCUUUAUAUUAAAUGUUUAAACUUAAUUUUUUAGUUAAAAAGCUAAAAUAUUUAAAUGGGACGAGAAGACCCUAUAGAAUUUUAUUUUUAUUUAAAAUUAUAAGUUUUUGGAUUAUAAAAUUUAUUAUUUUAAAUACAAAUUUUGUUGGGGUGACCUUGAGAUUUAUAUAACUCUCAAAUUUUAUAUUUUAUUAAUAUAUAUAUAUAUGAUCCUAUUUUAAGGAUAUGUAGAUUAAAUUACCUUAGGGAUAACAGCGUAAUUUUUUUGGAGAGUUCUUAUUGAUGAAAAAGUUUGCGACCUCGAUGUUGGAUUAAAAUUAGAUUUAAGUGCAGAAGCUUAAUUUCUAGGUCUGUUCGACCUUUAAACUUUUACAUGAUCUGAGUUCAGACCGGCGUGAGCCAGGUCGGUUUCUAUCUUUUUAUUACCAAUAUCAUAAAUUAGUACGAAAGGACCAUUUAUGUCAAAUAAUUUUGUUUUUAUUAUGAAUAUAUUUAACUAUUUUGACAGAUUAAUGUGGUAAAUUUAGAAUUUACA